Molecule: antisense RNA, 75 nt
Rfam family: ASpks TB sRNA
CUUGAUCGAGCCCAGCCACAACGGGCUGUCGGCGGCGCGGCCUUGGCCGUAGGUGGCGAUGAGCGCCUGCGCCUC